AUUUAACAGAUAUUUAUUGAGUACCUGCUAUGUGCCAGGCACUGGGUGUUAGAAAUACAGUCAUGAACAAAACAGAUCCAUUUUCCCUUGAUUCUGUAGGGAAGAUAGACCACAGACCCCAGAACCAAGAGAUCGGUAAUACACUGCCUGGCAGUGACCUGCGCUGUGGGAAUCGGGUAUGAGGAUGGGGUCAGGUGUCCAAUACAGCGGCAGAAGAGCAGGUACCCAGGCAGAUAUGGGCAGAUUAAGAAACGAACCAGGGUUGAAGGGCCAACCCAAAGUGCGCAGCAAAUCAGAGGCGGGAGCCUGGGCCUGCAGCAUAGGAAUGUUCACCCACAGCUGCUGAAGCAGCCGCAGCAGCUCCCUCUGCCCCUGACUAAGGGGUGUGCCCAGCGAAGCCACCUGCCCUCACCUCCCCCUUGGCUCCUGCCCCUGACUCCCGCAGUCUGGAGUCCAGCAAGGCAAGGGAACUGACACAGCCCCCAGGGUCACGAUGGCUUCCAUUCUUUGACAUUCACCAGUGUCACUGGCUGAGCUCAGGCUACACGGCCAUCUUCUCUUUGAAGCCUCCAAACCAGCUGGUGAAGUCAGUAGCACCCCUGUGUUUUUUAUCAAGGUAAGGUUCACAUAACAUAAAAUGAAGCAUUUUAAAGUGAACACUUCAGUGGAAUUUAGUAUAUUUACAGGGUUGUGGAACCUCCGCCUCUGUCUAGUUCCAAAACAUUUUUAUCACCCCAAAAGGAAACCCAUACCCACUAAACAGUUGCUCUCCUUUCCCUCCUCCCCCAGGUGUCUUGGCUGACCUGAAAACCCCAGGGCGCCCUGAGGGAAAGAAAGCCAGGGAAGGGAUGCAUGGGAAGCUGGGUGAUUAUUGCCCUCUAUUCCAGGGUUGGGGGUGGGGACCACCUGUCCAGGGAGCAUAGCCUAGCUGAGGGGCAGGAAUGGGCCCCUGCCUGUCCCAGGGUCAGCCCAGGGUCAGAUGGGGCCAACUAUAGUCCCCACGGCCAGGACAUGGCUGCUGAGAGGCCCGGUGACCACAGCUGUGUUCUCUGGGCUCUGGUUGAAGCACUUUGCAUGCAUUAAUCCUAAAGCCGAUCUUUACAGCCUCCCUGAAAGGAAGGUGCAUGAGGUCCCUGUUUUACAGAUGAAGAAACUAAGGCUCACAGAUUGGAGAAAUGUGCCCAUAGCUAGGUGGCCAGGAAACAGUACAGUCAGGAUUCACAUCCUUCUGAUUCCAAAGGCUUUGCCCUUGACAACUGCUUAGAGCUUUUCUGCUGGCUGUGCCUAGCACCAGGCUGGACUGGACCCAGGAGUCAGGAUAACUUGGCAAAAAGGGGCUGUGGAUCUUGGGGCUGCAGGCAGGGAAACAUAGGGAUCUAUAGCCCACCAACACCUUCCAUGAGGCACAAGGGGAAAGUAACUGGACCAAGUCAAGGGCAACUCCAUGAGUUAAAGGGCACACAGGGGAACUCUCCCAUCCAGCCCUCAGCCAGCUCUCCAAGGAAGACUGGAGUAAGCCAGGGGCAGGUGCUGGCCAGCGUGCUUCUGGAGAACAAGUCCCAGAUGCUGCUCAACUUGGGGUCAGAGGAAGCCAAGAGGGGACCCCAGAGCCAUGCCUGGUCAGGCACAGCCCCUCCCCAGCAGUGAGUUUGUACCCACUGCCCACUUCGGGAGUGGGGGCUUGUCAUGACAUACAGUGAGCUAACAGAGGGUAUGAAGGGCCUCCUGGAGGGGGUGGGGUGCACAGGAAACUGCUCAACACCUUGGUGCCCUCCCCUGUGCACUCAGGUCUUGCAUGAGCUGCCUGUCCUGGAGGAAUCCUUGAAGGGGACAGACAGCACCAUCCUCCCUCACCUUUCUGCACAGAGUCCCAGGAACCUGAGCAGGGCAAAUGUUUUCACCACCCUGUUCUGAGAACAAAUUGAGCAGGCCUAUUAGCCCCAUAUUCCCACAUGUGGUCCUGGAGACUACGCUCCAUCCUGGAAAAUGCCAUAGAGGUCACUUUGGGCAUGCGGCACAGCGGCUGUCCGAGGGGGUGUGUUUAGGGCUGGACACCUUCCGGUCCAGCACAGGCCAUGAGGAGCAGGCGAGUGCCCUCUAGUGGCCUCUCCCGGCACGGGUUGCAUAGAGCCCCACUUCCCAAAGACAGCUCGCCUAGGAGCACAGGGACAAUCCCAGUCUCCUUCCUACAGGGUCUGGAAGCGUUGUGCAACUAACCCUCAAUUUUUUCAAAAGAAAAAAGGAAGUGAUAGAUCUACAUCAGAAGGUGUUACUAUUUCUAGUUCACAAAUGAAAAAGGGGUGGCCAGGCACGGUGGCUCACGCCUGUAAUCCCAGCACUUUGGGAGGCCGAGGCGGGUGCAUCACUUGAGGCCAGGAGUUUGAGAUCAGCCUGGUCAACAUGGUGAAACCCCGUCUCUGCUAAAAACACAAAAAUUAGCCAGGCAUGCUGGCAGGCGCCUGUAAUCUCAGCUACUUGGGAGGCUGAGGCAUGAGAAUAGCUUGAACCCACGAGCCAGAGGUUGCAGUGAGCCGAGAUUGCACCGCUGCACUCCAGCCUGGGCAACAAAGCAAGACUCUGCCUCAAAUAAAAACAAAAUAAAACAAACAAAAAAUACAAAUGAAAAAGAUACAGAACUUGGGUUUUUCAACUCAGCUGUGAUGGCAAACUUGUGCUGGUGUUUAGGCACUCGACUUUAACUGCUCAGAUUUUAACAAGAGGCUAUUUCCAACCAAAAGCGUAGCUUUUUCUCUCCUGUCUCCUGCUCCCAAGAGAGACUGCACUGUUGAGGAGAAAGCAGGGAAAUGGCUCUUCCUCCUCUCUGUGGUAAAAAGGAUCAAUGAUAAACUUUUCCUUAUCUUGUUAUACUUUACAAAGGCCUUUCACCUGUGUUAUCUUAUUUGCACGUCACACCAGCCCUGUGAGGGAGGAAGUAUUAGCCCCAUCCAAUAUGUAACUCCAAAGGUAGCUGUCCACUUAACUUCCAGCCCUGCAGCUACACAAGCCCCAUGGGACCAAACCCAAAUGAAGUCUCAAUAAAUUUAAAAAGAUAACUGUCAUAUAAAGUAUCUCCUUGGACCACAACAGGAUGAAGUUAAAAAAUCAAUAACAGAAAUAUAACUGAAGGCCGGUCGUGGUGGCUCACGCCUGUAAUCCCAGCAAUUUGGGAGGCCUCGGAGGUGGGCAGAUCACUUGAGCCCAGAAUUCGAGAACAGCCUGGGCAACAUGCUGAAACCCCAUCUCUACAAAAUAAUAAUAAUAAUAAUAAUAAUAAUAAUAAAUAAAAAAUAGCCAGGCAUGGUGGCGCACACCUGUAGUCCCAGCUACUCUUAGAGGCUGAGGUGGGAAGAUCAUCUGAGCCUGGGAAGGUUGGGGCUGCAGUGAGCUGUGAUCACACCACUGCACUCCAGUCUGGGCGACAGAGUGAGACCCUGUCUACAAAAAAAGAAAAGAAAAGGAAAUACAACUGGAAAAUUCACAAAUUUGUGAAAAAACAAUGCACUCUUAACCAAUGGAUCAAAGAAGACAUCACAAAGGAAACCAGAAAAUACCUAGAAAUAAAAGAAAAUGAAAACACAACAAAGCAAAAUGUAUGAGAUACAACAAAAGCAGCGCUAAGGAGAAAAUUUAUAGCUAUAAGUAACACAACAUAGCAAAAUGUAUGACAUACAAUAAAAGCAGUGCUAAGGUGGAAAUUUAUAGCUGUAAGUGUUUACAUUAAAAAACAAGAAAGAUUUCAAAUCAACAACCUAACUUUACAACUUGAGGAAGUAUAAAGAGAAAACCAAACAACCCAAUAUUUAAAUAAAUUUAAAAAGAUAACUGUCAUAUAAAGUAUCUCCUCGGACCACAACAGGAUGAAGUUAAAAAUCAAUAACAGAAAUAUAACUGGAGGCCAGUCGUGGUAGUCAAAAUAAAUAUUAGCAACAAAUGAAACUGAGAAUAGAAACACAAUAGAAAAGGCUGGGCACAGUUAUUCAUGCCUGUAAUCCCAGCACUCUGGGAGGCCAAGGCAGGCAGAUCACUUGAGCUCAGGAGUUCAAGACCAGCAUGGGCAACAUGGCAAAACCCCACCUCUACCAAAAAUACAAAAAAUUAGCUGGGCAUGGCGGUGUGUGCCUGUAGUCCCAGCUACUCAGGAGGCUGAAAUGGGCGGAUCGCUUGAGCCUGGGAAGCAGAAGUUGCAGGGAGCCAAGAUCAUGCCACUGCACCCCAGCCUGGGCAACAGAGCAAGACCCCAUUUCAGAAAAAGAAAAAGAAAAACAAUAGAGAUAAACCAGCGAAACAAAAAGUUUGUUUUUUGAAAUGAUCAACAAAAUUGAAAAACCUUUAGCUAGAUGGACUAAUAAAAGAGAGAGAGAAGCCUCAAAUUACUGAAAUCAGAAAUGAAAGUGGGGACAUUUGGCCGGGCGCGGUGGCUCACUCCUGUAAUCCCAGCACUUUGGGAGGCCAAGGCGGGUGUUAUCACCUGAUGUCAGGAGUUCGAGACCAGCCUGGCCAAUAUGGUGAAACCCUGUCUCUACUAAAAAAGUACAAAAAUUAGCCAGGCGUGGUGGCACAUGCCUGUAAUGCCCAGCUACUCAGGAGGCUGAGGCAGGAGAAUCUCUUGAACCUGG
RNAcentral lists this long non-coding RNA (4616 nucleotides) under Homo sapiens (human). RNAcentral describes it as "HSALNT0212569". Lineage: Eukaryota; Metazoa; Chordata; Mammalia; Primates; Hominidae. The record is from RNAcentral.